AAAUCCGUCCACUUUAAAAAUCGUGAGGGUUCAAGUCCCUCUAUCCCCAA
This 50-nucleotide transfer RNA is filed under the name Cissus rhombifolia. Its description in RNAcentral is "partial tRNA-Leu". The record is from RNAcentral. Lineage: Eukaryota; Viridiplantae; Streptophyta; Magnoliopsida; Vitales; Vitaceae.